GAUAAGGGGUGCCACCAUCAGGUGGCCGCAGAGAAUAGGCCCAAGCGACUGUUUACCCAAAACAUAGGUUUCUGCUAAGUCGCAAGACGAUGUAUAGUAGCUGACGCCUGCCCGGUGCUAGAACGUUACGGGUAGCUGUUAGAGCAAUCGAAGCAGUGAACUUAAUCCCCAGUAAACGGCGGCCGUAACUAUAACGGUCCUAAGGUAGCGAAAUUCCUUGUCGGGUAAGUUCAGACCCGCACGAAAGGCGUAACGAUUUGGGCACUGUCUCAACAACAGACACGGUGAAAUUGUAAUUCCGGUGACGAUGCCGGAUACCUGCGACAGGACGGAAGGAACACCUGGCGCUUUACAGUAGCUUGCCAUUGGGUGUUUGAACUCCAUGUGACGGCUAGGUGGGAGGACUUGAAACAAGGGCGCCAGUUUUUGCAGUUGCCUCCCUGGGAUAUCACCCCGGUAG
Molecule: ribosomal RNA, 460 nt
Filed under: Clostridioides difficile
Lineage: Bacteria; Bacillati; Bacillota; Clostridia; Peptostreptococcales; Peptostreptococcaceae
Description: bacterial LSU rRNA
Rfam family: Bacterial large subunit ribosomal RNA
Source: RNAcentral